CCUACGGGAGGCAGCAGUGAGGAAUAUUGGUCAAUGGGCGCGAGCCUGAACCAGCCAAGUAGCGUGAAGGAUGACGGCCCUACGGGUUGUAAACUUCUUUUAUGAAGGAAUAAAGUGAGUCACGUGUGCUGUUUUGUAGGUACCGCAUGAAUAAGGAUCGGCUAACUCCGUGCCAGCAGCCGCGGUAAUACGGAGGAUCCGAGCGUUAUCCGGAUUUAUUGGGUUUAAAGGGUGCGUAGGCGGGUUGUUAAGUCAGUGGUGAAAGUUUGCGGCUCAACCGUAAAAUUGCCGUUGAUACUGGCAGUCUUGAGUACGGUUGAGGCAGGCGGAAUGCGUGGUGUAGCGGUGAAAUGCUUAGAUAUCACGAAGAACUCCGAUUGCGAAGGCAGCUUACUAAGCUACCACUGACAUUGAUGCUCGAAAGUGUGGGUAUCGAACAGGAUUAGAUACCCUUGUAGUC
Molecule: ribosomal RNA, 460 nt
Filed under: uncultured bacterium
Lineage: Bacteria
Description: partial 16S ribosomal RNA
Rfam family: Bacterial small subunit ribosomal RNA
Source: RNAcentral